GCAUUUUAAGGUAAGGAUAAGUAGGUUGAAGAAGAAGUAAGAGGGGCCAGAUUGCGAUAGUUAUGAGCCGGAGUAAGCUUGAUACUACUUCUUUGUUUUCUUUGUUUCUUUGUAGUUGAAGAAUAAUAGAUAGUUUUUGAAUAAUGUAAAAUAAAAUUUUGAAAUAAAAAAAGAUUUAAUAUUAUAAAUGAAGUAUGGAAUUUAUUGUAGAUGAAUACAGUGGAGAAUUGUAAGUGGAAAAUUGGAAGUAUUGGUGAAAAAUGGAUAUGAAUGGGAGAAUUGUAAUAUUGAGGUUUGAGAAGGAGUCUUUGGAGUCUGGAUUUGUGUGAAGAAGUAUAAGGAGAAUGAUAGUUAAAUAUAGAAGAUUCUAGUGAUUGGAUUAUGGAGUGAUUGUAUGCUGUCUUUUAAGAUAGUAUAGUAUUACAUAUUAUUGUCAUAAAUUAGGAGAAAAAAAGAGAUAGUGAAUGUGAAGAUGGAAUUAUCGAUUGUAAUAUUUGAUAGAAUGUGGAGGACAAUGUAGCAUUCUUGGGUGUUUUGAGUUGAACAAGAGAUAGUUAAUUGUAUGACCCUAAUAUGUAAACUCAUGCGGAUAAUCUUUCUUUAUAUUCAAAUUUUCAUAUACAAGUUUAUUUUGAUUAGAUUAGUCUAGAGUAAGUAAAAUAAUAAUUACAUUUUGGUACCGGUAUUGGGGAUUGAUAAUAGUAUUGAGUAUUAGGAAUUAAUUGCUGAAUGUGUGGUUGUGGAUAUCAUACAAAGAGGUUACAAAAUUAGUGUUGGUUCA
This 781-nucleotide long non-coding RNA is filed under the name Physcomitrium patens. RNAcentral describes it as "long non-coding RNA (PPAT_LNC005397)". The record is from RNAcentral. Lineage: Eukaryota; Viridiplantae; Streptophyta; Bryopsida; Funariales; Funariaceae.